RNAcentral lists this ribosomal RNA (509 nucleotides) under uncultured bacterium. RNAcentral describes it as "bacterial SSU rRNA". It matches the Rfam family "Bacterial small subunit ribosomal RNA", at positions 9 to 514 of the family's 1533-position model. The record is from RNAcentral.
GAGUUUGAUCCUGGCUCAGAUUGAACGCUGGCGGCAGGCCUAACACAUGCAAGUCGAGCGGUAGAGAGAAGCUUGCUUCUCUUGAGAGCGGCGGACGGGUGAGUAAUGCCUAGGAAUCUGCCUGGUAGUGGGGGAUAACGCUCGGAAACGGACGCUAAUACCGCAUACGUCCUACGGGAGAAAGCAGGGGACCUUCGGGCCUUGCGCUAUCAGAUGAGCCUAGGUCGGAUUAGCUAGUUGGUGAGGUAAUGGCUCACCAAGGCGACGAUCCGUAACUGGUCUGAGAGGAUGAUCAGUCACACUGGAACUGAGACACGGUCCAGACUCCUACGGGAGGCAGCAGUGGGGAAUAUUGGACAAUGGGCGAAAGCCUGAUCCAGCCAUGCCGCGUGUGUGAGGAAGGUCUUCGGAUUGUAAAGCACUUUAAGUUGGGAGGAAGGGCAGUAAAUUAAUACUUUGCUGUUUGACGUUACCGACAGAAUAAGCACCGGCUAACUCUGUGCCAGCAG